Molecule: ribosomal RNA, 913 nt
Filed under: gamma proteobacterium HTCC6268
Lineage: Bacteria; Pseudomonadati; Pseudomonadota; Gammaproteobacteria
Description: bacterial SSU rRNA
Rfam family: Bacterial small subunit ribosomal RNA
Source: RNAcentral
UCGGUGUGAGUAGAGCGGCGGACGGGUGAGUAAUGCUUGGGAAUCUGCCCAGUAGUGGGGGAUAACGUGUGGAAACGCACGCUAAUACCGCAUACGUCCUACGGGAGAAAGCAGGGGAUCUUCGGACCUUGCGCUAUUGGAUGAGCCCAAGUCGGAUUAGCUAGUUGGUGGGGUAAUGGCCUACCAAGGCGACGAUCCGUAGCUGGUCUGAGAGGAUGAUCAGCCACACUGGGACUGAGACACGGCCCAGACUCCUACGGGAGGCAGCAGUGGGGAAUAUUGCACAAUGGGCGAAAGCCUGAUGCAGCCAUGCCGCGUGUGUGAAGAAGGCUCUAGGGUUGUAAAGCACUUUCAGUAGGGAGGAAAUGUUGUUGACUAAUAAUCAACAAUCUUGACGUUACCUACAGAAGAAGCACCGGCAAACUCCGUGCCAGCAGCCGCGGUAAUACGGAGGGUGCGAGCGUUAAUCGGAAUUACUGGGCGUAAAGCGCGCGUAGGUGGUUUGAUAAGCUAGCUGUGAAAGCCCCGGGCUUAACCUGGGAACUGCAGUUAGAACUGUCUGACUAGAGUACAGUAGAGGGUGGCGGAAUUUCCUGUGUAGCGGUGAAAUGCGUAGAUAUAGGAAGGAACAUCAGUGGCGAAGGCGGCCACCUGGACUGAUACUGACACUGAGGUGCGAAAGCGUGUGGAGCAAACAGGAUUAGAUACCCUGGUAGUCCACGCCGUAAACGAUGUCUACUAGCCGUUGGGAGACUUGAUCUCUUAGUGGCGCAGUUAACGCGAUAAGUAGACCGCCUGGGGAGUACGGCCGCAAGGUUAAAACUCAAAUGAAUUGACGGGGGCCCGCACAAGCGGUGGAGCAUGUGGUUUAAUUCGACGCAACGCGAAGAACCUUACCAGGUCUUGACAUCCU